AACGCGAAGAACCUUACCUACCCUUGACAUGCCAGGAAGCGCUAAGAGAUUAGCGCGUGCCCGCAAGGGAGCCUGGGCACAGGUGCUGCAUGGCUGUCGUCAGCUCGUGUCGUGAGAUGUUGGGUUAAGUCCCGUAACGAGCGCAACCCCUGUUGUUAGUUACCAUCAUUAAGUUGGGGACACUAAUGAGACUGCCGGUGAUAAACCGGAGGAAGGUGGGGAUGACGUCAAGUCCUCAUGGCCCUUAUGGGUAGGGCUACACACGUGCUACAAUGGGUAAUACAAAGGGAGGCGAAACCGCGAGGUGGAGCGAAUCCCAGAAAGUUACUCGUAGUCCGGAUUGCAGUCUGAAACUCGACUGCAUGAAGUUGGAAUCGCUAGUAAUCGCAAAUCAGCAUGUUGCGGUGAAUACGUUCACGGGCCUUGUACACACCGACAUA
RNAcentral lists this ribosomal RNA (440 nucleotides) under uncultured bacterium. RNAcentral's name for it is "bacterial SSU rRNA". It matches the Rfam family "Bacterial small subunit ribosomal RNA", at positions 958 to 1397 of the family's 1533-position model. The record is from RNAcentral.